GCCGAGGUAGCUUAGCCCGGGAGGAUAGCCAUCUUAUGAUGGCAUUGGUUCCCGUCAGCGCUGGACUGAAGAUCCAGUUGUCGUGCGUUCAAAUCGCACCCUCGGCA
This 107-nucleotide transfer RNA is filed under the name Candidatus Heimdallarchaeota archaeon. Its description in RNAcentral is "tRNA-Phe". It matches the Rfam family "tRNA". From Rfam's summary of the family: Transfer RNA (tRNA) molecules are approximately 80 nucleotides in length. The record is from RNAcentral. Lineage: Archaea; Promethearchaeati; Candidatus Heimdallarchaeota.